AUACGGAGGGGGCAAGCGUUGUUCGGAAUUACUGGGCGUAAAGGGUGUGUAGGUGGCUUUGUUAGUCUUAUGUUAAAGCCCGCGGCUUAACCGCGGAUAUGCAUUAGAUACGGCAACGCUAGAGGAUGUGAGGGGUUUAUGGAACUCAUGGUGUAGGGGUGAAAUCCGUUGAUAUCAUGGGGAACACCAAAAGCGAAGGCAAUAAACUGGCACAUUCCUGACACUGAGACACGAAAGCGUGGGUAGCGAAUGGGAUUAGAAACCCCUGUAGUCC
This 274-nucleotide ribosomal RNA is filed under the name uncultured bacterium. RNAcentral describes it as "partial 16S ribosomal RNA". It matches the Rfam family "Bacterial small subunit ribosomal RNA", at positions 523 to 796 of the family's 1533-position model. The record is from RNAcentral.